RNAcentral lists this ribosomal RNA (473 nucleotides) under uncultured bacterium. Its description in RNAcentral is "bacterial SSU rRNA". It matches the Rfam family "Bacterial small subunit ribosomal RNA", at positions 355 to 825 of the family's 1533-position model. The record is from RNAcentral.
UAGGGAAUAUUGGGCAAUGGGCGCAAGCCUGACCCAGCGACGCCGCGUGGGUGAUGAAGGCCUUCGGGUCGUAAAGCUCUGUCGGAGGGAACGAAUGCUCUUGAGGUUAACAGCCUCGGGAGGUGACGGUACCCUCAAAGGAAGCACCGGCUAACUCUGUGCCAGCAGCCGCGGUAAUACAGAGGGUGCAAGCGUUGUUCGGAAUCAUUGGGCGUAAAGGGCGUGUAGGCGGUAUGUUAAGUCAUGUGUGAAAUCCCUCGGCUCAACCGGGGAACGACGCAUGAAACUAGCAAGCUAGAGUACCAAAGAGGGUGGUGGAAUUCCCGGUGUAGCGGUGAAAUGCAUAGAUAUCGGGAGGAACACCUGUGGCGAAGGCGGCCACCUGGUUGGAUACUGACGCUGAGACGCGAAAGCGUGGGGAGCAAACAGGAUUAGAUACCCCGGUAGUCCCUGAGCGGGCUGGCAAGGCGCAU